AAGGUCAUGUACUUGGACUGUUUUUCAUUUCAUGAACAUCUGGGCUUAUGAGAUUAACAGAACAGUAUAGCAUUGCCUUCUUUUUGGUCUCUUUUAUUAAUAACUUGUGAAUAACACUUGUCUUCUACCAUGUGGAUUAUACUUCUGUUGGGGUAAUUUCCUCACUAUAGUAAUGGCUGCUAGUUAACCCCUUACUCACAACUGCUGCUGCUACCAGCUCAGAUGUAUUUCUUCUUAUGUUCAGAUAUAUUGUCCUGUAUGUUUCCAUUGGGUAGGAACAGGUCAUUUCCCCAAACACAGGCAUCUUGCACCAUUUCCACAUAAGGAAUCCCACCUGGGAUCCAGCUGUCACUCUUCUGGAGGAGGCCUGGGGCUCCUGGAGGUCAUCUGGUGUAUCCCCCAGCCCUGUGCAAAUGUCCCUGAGGCUGAAGAACAUCUCCCAUGUCCCUGCAUUUGAGGAAUGAGGAGCAAACAGAUUUGAAGGAUGAACAGACACUCCAGCCAACUCUUCUGAGAAGACUGGGGAUUCUGCCUCUGCAAUGGCAAGAGAAAUGGAUUAUUGAAACAGGAACUGUAGCACCUGUGCUCUUGGCUCAUCAAAGGAAGCAAUACUAGAAGGUGCCAAAUGCACUUUAAUUUUUUUAAAUAAAAGCUCAGUAGAAUUGCUCCAAUUCAGCUGGAGAAAGAAGCCUCAGGAACACUGCAGAACCAAGUGUCCUCUACAGCCCACCAGGAAGGACUGUAGGGACUCUUCACAAAUUACAUACUACAAGGUAUUGCUGGAUCUGGGAGAGGAUGUUUGCAGAGUCUGUAACUUUUGCACAUUUCCAUUCUGCCUGAGCCUCCCUUCAUCUCUCUGCGGUUGAGAAGUGAAGAAAAAGCUGCUGUUGGCAGAAUUCGCUUUUGUGCUGAGAUUUGGCCUGAGGAGCUCAAGGGUGUGUUUUGGUGAGGUUUGCUUCAGUCUCUUACUUCCUCCAAGGGCGAUGUAGAGUGGAAGAAAGUGAUGCCAUGCUGCACUUCACAACACCAGUGACAGUGGGAGAGUGAUAAAACAACCAGGAGCAAGAGGAAAAGAGCUGUUACUUCCCUCUGUCCCACACGUGGCAAUUCUCCUAUGCAAAGUUUACUGACAGUGUGGCACUCCAAAUUACAUUAAGGAGCAACAGUCAUUUUACUCAUGACAGAGUUGAAAGCAGCUUUUUUCACACCCUGAUGACAACUGGAUGCACAUUACUGCUCCCUUAGACCUUUAGAAGCAUUCAGGCUUGUGUAUUUCUGUACAUUCUCUGACAACCUAACAGGUAAGUGGCUGCAAAAACCCCAAAUACUCU
Non-coding RNA from Cyanistes caeruleus (blue tit), 1331 nucleotides. The record is from RefSeq and is a predicted model, not a curated record. Lineage: Eukaryota; Metazoa; Chordata; Aves; Passeriformes; Paridae.